GGGCCGGUAGCUCAGCUUGGCUGGAGCGUUCGGCUGAUAACCGAAAGGUCGAGAGUUCAAAUCUCUCCCGGCCCA
RNAcentral lists this transfer RNA (75 nucleotides) under Candidatus Bathyarchaeota archaeon. RNAcentral's name for it is "tRNA-Ile". It matches the Rfam family "tRNA". From Rfam's summary of the family: Transfer RNA (tRNA) molecules are approximately 80 nucleotides in length. Lineage: Archaea; Thermoproteati; Candidatus Bathyarchaeota. RNAcentral also lists the same sequence under 6 other names. The record is from RNAcentral.